GAGGGUAUAGCUCAGUGGUAGAGUGCAUGCUUAGCAUGCAUGAGGUCCUGGGUUCGAUCCCCUGUACCUCCA
Molecule: transfer RNA, 72 nt
Filed under: Camelus bactrianus (Bactrian camel)
Lineage: Eukaryota; Metazoa; Chordata; Mammalia; Artiodactyla; Camelidae
Also listed under: 2 other names
Rfam family: tRNA
About the family: Transfer RNA (tRNA) molecules are approximately 80 nucleotides in length. Their secondary structure includes four short double-helical elements and three loops (D, anti-codon, and T loops).
Source: Rfam by way of RNAcentral